RNAcentral lists this ribosomal RNA (676 nucleotides) under uncultured beta proteobacterium. RNAcentral's name for it is "bacterial SSU rRNA". It matches the Rfam family "Bacterial small subunit ribosomal RNA", at positions 200 to 858 of the family's 1533-position model. The record is from RNAcentral. Lineage: Bacteria; Pseudomonadati; Pseudomonadota; Betaproteobacteria.
AUGAAAGCGGGGGAUCGCAAGACCUCGCGCGAUUGGAGCGGCCGAUAUCAGAUUAGGUAGUUAGUAGGGUAAAGGCCUACCAAGCCAACGAUCUGUAGCUGGUCUGAGAGGACGACCAGCCACACUGGAACUGAGACACGGUCCAGACUCCUACGGGAGGCAGCAGUGGGGAAUUUUGGACAAUGGGCGAAAGCCUGAUCCAGCCAUUCCGCGUGCAGGAUGAAGGCCCUCGGGUUGUAAACUGCUUUUGUACAGAACGAAAAGGUCUCUACUAAUACUAGGGGCUCAUGACGGUACUGUAAGAAUAAGCACCGGCUAACUACGUGCCAGCAGCCGCGGUAAUGCGUAGGGUGCAAGCGUUAAUCGGAAUUACUGGGCGUAAAGCGUGCGCAGGCGGUUAUAUAAGUCAGAUGUGAAAUCCCCGGGCUCAACCUGGGAACUGCAUUUGAGACUGUAUAGCUAGAGUACGGUAGGGGGGGAUGGAAUUCCGCGUGUAGCAGUGAAAUGCGUAGAUAUGCGGAGGAACACCGAUGGCGAAGGCAAUCCCCUGGACCUGUACUGACGCUCAUGCACGAAAGCGUGGGGAGCAAACAGGAUUAGAUACCCUGGUAGUCCACGCCCUAAACGAUGUCAACUGGUUGUUGGGUCUUAACUGACUCAGUAACGAAGCUAACGC